CCAAUCAGGAGGCGGCGAGAGGCGCGUGCCCUCGCUUUGCGCUGAAAAACGGCGAGAUUUGGGGGAGAUUUUUAUACAGUGUGGAUUCAAAGCGACCAUCUCACACACACACACACAGAGCGCGGGGACGCAGACAGGAGCGGACACAGCAGCGGGGUAUUACAGCGUCUCCAUCCGGGAGAUCUGAGGGACAGCCUCAGAGAGAGAGAGAGAGAGCGCUGCUGCUGAGGAUCUCUGCCUGUUUCCUCCAACAGCUUCAUCAGUGAUGUGGUCAGGAUCUUCCACUUCCUAAGAGUGUGCCCUUAUUGAUCAACAACGUCGAAAGUCGCCUACUUUAAGAGGAAGUAUGCGGAAGAGGAGGAUGUCCAGGGACGCCUACAUGGAUAUUUACAAAAACACCUGAUCUUACACGAGGAACGCAGCUGCAUUUUGCGUCUGUCGCUGCAGAAGCUGCGUUUCCUGGACGACCCCGAGGCCUUCCUGCGCCGCGCCGUUCUCAUCAACAACCUGCUGCGCAAGAUCCACUCAGACGAUGGGCAGAGGGACAGAGACAGACCGAGGAAUGGCGAGAAAGAAGAAGAAGAAAAGGAGAGGCUUUUUUACUUGGACAGGAAGAGACUGAAGGUCAUGGUGACACCUGAACACGGACAUUCCAUCUUCCUCUAUCCACUUGAUAACAACUGCUGAUGUCCCACUUUACUGAAGUAAACCCAGCAGUGAUGAUGACGGAGGAUGGAGGUGG
This is a long non-coding RNA of Neoarius graeffei (lesser salmon catfish), 742 nucleotides long. RefSeq lists it as uncharacterized. NCBI's taxonomy places the organism in Eukaryota, Metazoa, Chordata, Actinopteri, Siluriformes, Ariidae. The record is from RefSeq and is a predicted model, not a curated record. The transcript has 3 exons.